UUUUAGAAUUUAAUUUAAAGUCUAACCUGCCCACUGAAUAAUUUUUAAAUGGCCGCAGUAUCCUAACUGUGCAAAGGUAGCAUAAUCAUUAGUCUUUUAAUUGAAGGCUGGAAUGAAUGGUUGGAUGAAAUAUUAACUGUUUCAUAAAAAUUUAUAAUAGAAUUUAAUUUUUUAGUCAAAAAGCUAAAAUAUUAUUAAAAGACGAGAAGACCCUAUAAAUCUUUAUAUUUAGAUAAUUUUAAUUAUUUAGAUAAAUUAAAUUAUAAUUAUUUUAAAUAUUUUAUUGGGGUGAUAUUAAAAUUUAAUAAACUUUUAAUUUAUAAUUAACAUAAAUUAAUGAAUUAUUGAUCCAUUUAUUAUGAUUAAAAAAUUAAGCUACUUUAGGGAUAACAGCGUAAUUUUUUUAGAGAGUUCAUAUUGAUAAAAAAGAUUGCGACCUCGAUGUUGGAUUAAGAUAUAGUUUUAGGUGCAGUAGCUUAAAUUUAAAGUCUGUUCGACUUUUAAAUUCUUACA
Molecule: ribosomal RNA, 513 nt
Filed under: Megaselia flava
Lineage: Eukaryota; Metazoa; Arthropoda; Insecta; Diptera; Phoridae
Description: partial 16S ribosomal RNA
Rfam family: Bacterial large subunit ribosomal RNA (bases 386-513)
Source: RNAcentral